Long non-coding RNA from Arvicola amphibius (Eurasian water vole), 413 nucleotides. RefSeq lists it as uncharacterized. The transcript has 2 exons. The record is from RefSeq and is a predicted model, not a curated record. NCBI's taxonomy places the organism in Eukaryota, Metazoa, Chordata, Mammalia, Rodentia, Cricetidae.
AAGCAGAGUCAAAGAGAAGCCAUGAAGCCGCCGGAGACAGAUGCUGGGAACUUUAGUCGCUGUGUUCGGAAAGUUAACACCCAGCCAUCUUCUGCAUCACCCCGAGGAGGGAGGGGCUGCGAGGAAUAUAGAUUCCUGGCUUCUUCUCUGACUGGCCGAAUCUGUACUUCUGCAUGCAGAGUUCAGGGAUCUACUGCUGGCUGAUGCAAACUCCCCUGCGUAGUGUUCCACUCAGCUUAAGAAGCACAGCACCCCGUGGGAUAGAGCCCGGCUGUGGAACACGGCAUUCAAAGCCCAGCAGGAUGUACUUCUAUUUGCGGGCCUAUCUUGUCGGGUUGGUGGAAACAUCUAUGAAACCCACAUCUGUGUCUAGCCACACUGAUGCAACUCAUAAAACUUGUCUGAGAGUCUUA